Long non-coding RNA from Triticum aestivum (bread wheat), 1628 nucleotides. RefSeq lists it as uncharacterized. The transcript is spliced from 8 exons. NCBI's taxonomy places the organism in Eukaryota, Viridiplantae, Streptophyta, Magnoliopsida, Poales, Poaceae. The record is from RefSeq and is a predicted model, not a curated record.
CUGGCGUACCUAUAGUGUUUUAACGCAUGAGCACAACCACCAGUCCACCACACACCUUCGCGCCCCCCACAUAAGCUGCUUAAUUCCCCCCUCCUGGAGCACACUGGGUCCGGCGGCGGCUCUCGAUCUGCACCGGCGGCUAAGGAAAUGGAAGAUGUUGGGCUUGAGUUUUUGCUGGACGCUGUGGACAGGUUCCCGCUCCGGGAGGUGUUCGCCGACAGCCGGGAGCACCCAGAUCCGGUUCCUCUGGUGUUGUUGCCGGCAAGCGAAGCCAAUUAUGCUGACCCGACAGACUCAAAUGCCGCGUCUGGUUGCGGGCAACAGGUGGGCUGUCGAUGGCGCUGAGAGGGCACAGAGACUGGGGGCAGUGCGCCAGCGACCUGCUCGGCGCAGUCAACUGACAGAGUCGACCCCAAGGCCCUUGUUGGAAAAAGAGGACUAAAGCAAAUAUGCAGAUACAAGUAAUCAAGAUUAAGCUAACGGACAGGAUGCCAUGUCCUUCUAGGAUGAGUGCCCUGGAGCAGUCCAUUAGCAAGUACGCAGAGGAACCUACAAAAAGUGUAAUACGCCCUGAAGUUGCAUGUAAACAUGCUAGGGUGUGGUGAAAACGUCCUGAAGAAGAAAUGGUUCAAACACUUCCAUCCAAUACUAGCGGUGGCGUCCGGUCAGCAUUUGAUGGUGAGCUCACUCCUGGGGGUGAUUUGACACUGAAUUUGUGGAGAUGCAUUCAGUGGAUGCUCAGUGAAAAGGGGAAGAAAAUUUACUGCAGAUGGCUUGAUAGAUAUAGAGGGAUUUUCGAUCGGAGUUUCGUGGACGAGCUUUGAAAGGGAGGAGAAGAAAUGGACUUUGAUUACAUCAGCAUGAUGAUGAACUCGCAAGUGAUGGGCUACAGAAUUGACCAGAUAAAGAAGUUCAUGUUCUUGAUGUUGUUCAUGGAUUGCUGGUCACAGACUCACAGUACAUUCUAGACACUCAGAAGAAGAUUGUGAUGGUACUUGAUCCAACAGAGACAGAUCCAUCAGAUGGGAUGAAGAGAAAGCAUGACGCACUCGCGAAGAAGUUCCAGUGUAGGUUUUGCAACCUUUUUAAUGACAUGUUUGGGCAGGCUUGGUAGAUACAAGUGGAUGGUCAUUUCUGUACCCGUUUGUUGCACAGCACGAGCCAUGUUCCAGGCAAGACAGUGGAGUGUAUGCAGUGCACUACAUACUGGUGUUCACUGGGCUUUACCUGAGAUCAACUCUGAACCAGAAGCUAGUGACGAUGAAGAUUGCACCUGCGCAAGAAGAUUGCAUACGAGAUAGUGACGAUGAAGGGGAACAAGAACAAGGGAGAUAUCCCGGAGUUCCUUUACAAGAAGAUCCUUGACUGAAAUGAAGAGUAGUCGUUCAGUCUACAUGCGGCCCGGCAAGAUCUUUUGGCUGCGCAUGUGCUUGUCUGUUCAGUUGUCCCAAUUAAGUUGCUGGGGCAUUUUGAAGCACAAAAACCUACGAGCUUGUAGCUGAAAAACUAUGGACUUGUACUGAAUUUAUGGAUGGAACCCUAAGCAGACGUAAACGUAGUUGAAGAUAUGUAAUGUGGAGAGAUGACCAUCUCUAUGAAUUUGCAAUGUUAAAACUAUUUGUGAUUUU